This 253-nucleotide ribosomal RNA is filed under the name uncultured bacterium. RNAcentral's name for it is "partial 16S ribosomal RNA". It matches the Rfam family "Bacterial small subunit ribosomal RNA", at positions 524 to 776 of the family's 1533-position model. The record is from RNAcentral.
UACGUAGGGGGCUAGCGUUGUCCGGAUUUAUUGGGCGUAAAGAGCGUGUAGGCGGCCAGGUAGGUCUGCUGUGAAAACUCGAGGCUCAACCUCGAGACGUCGGCGGAAACUAUCUGGCUAGAGUCCGGAAGAGGAGAGUGGAAUUCCUGGUGUAGCGGUGAAAUGCGCAGAUAUCAGGAAGAACACCCGUGGCGAAGGCGGCUCUCUGGGACGGUACUGACGCUGAGACGCGAAAGCGUGGGGAGCGAACAGG